Cajanus cajan (pigeon pea) is the source of this 367-nucleotide non-coding RNA. Lineage: Eukaryota; Viridiplantae; Streptophyta; Magnoliopsida; Fabales; Fabaceae. The record is from RefSeq and is a predicted model, not a curated record.
UGUUUUUUAAUAAAAAAACUGUAAUUGAGUCUAACAAACUCCUUUCAGGGCCCCCCAGGGACAGGGAAGACUCAGACCAUUCUUGGGAUUCUAAGUACCAUUUUGCAUGCAACUCCUACAAGAGUGCAUUCAAAGACCUAUGAGCUAAGGCAGGGACCACAGAUGCCUGUUGAGGAGAAACAAAGACAUUGGGUACUAGCAUCUCCAUGGCUUAGUGGUAUUAAUCCAAGAGAUAGUUUGAUGCCGAAAGAUGGUGAUGAUGGUUUUUUUCCAACUACUGGAAAUGAAUUAAAACCUGAAGCUGUAACUUCAAGUCGUAAGUAUCGUGUAAGAGUGCUUGUAUGCGCCCCAUCAAACUCUGCCCUUG